This 69-nucleotide transfer RNA is filed under the name Aseraggodes kaianus (Kai sole). RNAcentral's name for it is "tRNA-Ala". It matches the Rfam family "tRNA". From Rfam's summary of the family: Transfer RNA (tRNA) molecules are approximately 80 nucleotides in length. Their secondary structure includes four short double-helical elements and three loops (D, anti-codon, and T loops). The record is from RNAcentral. Lineage: Eukaryota; Metazoa; Chordata; Actinopteri; Pleuronectiformes; Soleidae.
AAGGUUUUAGCUUAAUGAAAGUGUCUGCGUUGCAUGCAGAAGAUAUAGGUUAGAGUCCUGUAGGUCUUA